Anneissia japonica is the source of this 1223-nucleotide long non-coding RNA. RefSeq lists it as uncharacterized. The transcript has 3 exons. The record is from RefSeq and is a predicted model, not a curated record. NCBI's taxonomy places the organism in Eukaryota, Metazoa, Echinodermata, Crinoidea, Comatulida, Comatulidae.
AUUAAAAUUUCUAUUGUUAAUCUUACAGUGAAUAUAGAUGUUUUUUUUUUAAUAAAUCGAAAUCGAAAUCAAUUUUAUAAUAAUACCAGACAACCUAAUUUUACAUUUUUUAAAUCUAAAAUGUCUUUGCAUUUGAAAUUCCUUGGAAUUAUCAGACAUUAGGCCUACACCAAUGUCAUGAUAUAUUAAUUCCGUCCUCAAUCAUAUUAAGCCUAUAUUGUAAAAGUAUCGAUAAUGGUCGUUUUAUGUCUUUUUUGAUAAUUCUCAGUGUGAACAAGGAGGCUUUGAAGAGGAACUUUUGCUAUCGUCUUUGACAGGUAUACUGUACCACCAGGAUAGCAAUGCUUUUUUGCUACUCUUAUUUUGGUGCCGUUCAUUUACGAGGUGGUCUGCUGUCGACACUAUGUAUGUUACAAAUUAUUUUAACAGCUACAUACAUGAUGACUCGGAAAAUGCAAAAGGGUCAUUGCCUGGCAAGAAUGUGGUGCAGUGCUUUUCGGACCAGUAUCCAAAGAUUCUUCCUGAUGUCGAAAAUAAGGUUCAAGCCAUUCAAACUAAAGUCUUCAAUGAACGUCAGAAACUUAGAAAUAAAAACAAAAAUUAAGUAAUUUCUGACAACAAUAUAUGUUUAGCAAUGUGGCUGCUGAUGACUGUAGAACCAUUUAUUUUUGCCAUUUUACGCUUUUGCGAUCAUUUGUUUUCGCGAUUUAAUCUACUGCGGAAAAUGAAAUUUUUGAUCUAAUGAAAUGUUUUCGACUUUGCUGGAAAAAAAAAAACAUUUCCUCUUGCAUAGAAAGUGUCUUCCACCUCGUCUUGAACUUUAGUAACACUUGCGAAAGUCUGGUUCUUUCUUGGCAGAAUAGGGAUUUGAAGGAAAGUGGACACAAUGAAUGGCAAGACCCAUGAAUUGCCAAACAGGGCUAGAAUGUCUACGGGCCAAUUGCCAUUAUUGCACAUUUCUUAAUUUUUCCCUGUAGGGGUGUUUACCAGACUAGAUAAAAAGGAUUAAAAGUCCUCACUUAAUCACUGCCACAAAGUUCCGUCAUUGUGCCUCAACGCUUUAUUUUUUCUUAAUUUUGCCCUGUAGGGGUGUUUACCAGACUAGAUAAAUAGGAUUAAACGCCCAUGUCCGUAUUGUGGUACUGGACCAAAAUGACGUUGUUAUCCGUAUGUCCCCUCAAGUGGGUCGUAUCGGCACCGCUCUUCUCUUCUAUCCAUUGCUU